GGGCCCGUAGCUCAGCUUGGUAGAACUCAUGGCCGAAAGCGACCGGCUCAUAACCGGUCGGUCGAGGGUUCAAAUCCCUCCGGGCCCA
RNAcentral lists this transfer RNA (88 nucleotides) under Nitrososphaerota archaeon. RNAcentral describes it as "tRNA-Ile". It matches the Rfam family "tRNA". From Rfam's summary of the family: Transfer RNA (tRNA) molecules are approximately 80 nucleotides in length. The record is from RNAcentral. Lineage: Archaea; Thermoproteati; Nitrososphaerota.